RNAcentral lists this ribosomal RNA (396 nucleotides) under uncultured bacterium. RNAcentral's name for it is "bacterial SSU rRNA". It matches the Rfam family "Bacterial small subunit ribosomal RNA", at positions 29 to 416 of the family's 1533-position model. The record is from RNAcentral.
AACGAACGCUGGCGGCGCGCUUAACACAUGCAAGUCGAACGAGAAGCUGUAGCAAUACAGUUGUACAGUGGCGAACGGGUGAGGAAUACAUGGGUAACCUACCCUCGAGUGGGGAAUAACCAGCCGAAAGGCGGGCUAAUACCGCGUACGCUUCCGAUCUUGCGGGAUUGGAAGGAAAGCUGUCCCUUGGGGAUAGCGCUCAAGGAUGGGCUCAUGUCCUAUCAGCUUGUUGGAGGGUAACGGCCUACCAAGGCAUCGACGGGUAGCUGGUCUGAGAGGACGAUCAGCCACACUGGCACUGCGACACGGGCCAGACUCCUACGGGAGGCAGCAGUGAGGAAUAUUGCGCAAUGGGCGAAAGCCUGACGCAGCGACGCCGCGUGGGGGAUGAAGGUC